AUUGAACGCUAGCGGCAGGCUUAAUACAUGCAAGUCGAGGGGCAGCAGGGGUGUAGCAAUACACUCGCUGGCGACCGGCAAACGGGUGCGGAACACGUACGCAACCUACCCAAAACUGGGGAAUAGCCCGGGGAAACCCGGAUUAAUACCUCGUAACAUAAUGAAGUGGCAUCACUUUAUUAUUAUAGCCCCGGCGGUUUUGGAUGGGCGUGCGCCUGAUUAGGUAGUUGGCGGGGUAACGGCCCACCAAGCCUUCGAUCAGUAACUGGUGUGAGAGCACGACCAGUCACACGGGCACUGAGACACGGGCCCGACUCCUACGGGAGGCAGCAGUAAGGAAUAUUGGUCAAUGGACGCAAGUCUGAACCAGCCAUGCCGCGUGAAGGAUGAAGGUCCUCUGGAUUGUAAACUUCUUUUAUAGGGGAAGAAACCUCUUGAUUCUUCGAGAGUUGACGGUACCCUAGGAAUAAGCACCGGCUAACUCCGUGCCAGCAGCCGCAGUAA
RNAcentral lists this ribosomal RNA (504 nucleotides) under uncultured bacterium. Its description in RNAcentral is "partial 16S ribosomal RNA". It matches the Rfam family "Bacterial small subunit ribosomal RNA", at positions 30 to 523 of the family's 1533-position model. The record is from RNAcentral.